AGUGAACGCUGGCGGUAGGCCUAACACAUGCAAGUCGAACGGCAGCACAGUAAGAGCUUGCUCUUACGGGUGGCGAGUGGCGGACGGGUGAGGAAUACAUCGGAAUCUACUUUUUCUUGGGGGAUAACGUAGGGAAACUUACGCUAAUACCGCAUACUACCUACGGGUGAAAGCAGGGGAUCUUCGGACCUUGCGCGAUUGAAUGAGCCGAUGUCGGAUUAGCUAGUUGGCUGGGUAAAGGCCCACCAAGGCGACGAUCCGUAGCUGGUCUGAGAGGAUGAUCAGCCACACUGGAACUGAGACACGGUCCAGACUCCUACGGGAGGCAGCAGUGGGGAAUCUUGGACAAUGGGCGCAAGCCUGAUCCAGCCAUACCGCGUGGGUGAAGAAGGCCUUCGAGUUGUAAAGCCCUUUUGUUGGGAAAGAAAAGCAGCAGGUUAAUACCCCGCUGUUCUGACGGUACCCAAAGAAUAAGCACCGGCUAACUUCGUG
This 492-nucleotide ribosomal RNA is filed under the name uncultured bacterium. RNAcentral's name for it is "partial 16S ribosomal RNA". It matches the Rfam family "Bacterial small subunit ribosomal RNA", at positions 29 to 507 of the family's 1533-position model. The record is from RNAcentral.